AUCUGACCUUUGGUACUGGGGCAACUGAACACAGUGCAGGUAGUCCUCAACUUAUGACUGCAAUGGAGCCCAACAUUUAUGUUGUUAAUGCCCUGUCUCAUCUACAAUUUUCAAGAGAUGGUUCCUCCUUGACUUGUCCAGACACAUUAGAGAGUUUGGUGUGACAGACAGCAGGGUUGUCUUGGAUGUUCCUUUCGUUGACCCAUCAUCCUUAUAAUCACAUGAUCAACUUUCAGAUACUUGGCAACCAACUCCUAUUUAUGACAGCUCCAGUGUUCCAGGAUCAUGGGAUCACCAUCUGACAAAGUCAAAGGAAAAGCCAGAUUCACUUGACAUCCCAGUUACUAACAUCAGCUGCAAUGAUUCACAUUAACUGUGACAAGAGAGGCUGUGAAAUGGGGCAAAA
This is a non-coding RNA of Pseudonaja textilis, 406 nucleotides long. Lineage: Eukaryota; Metazoa; Chordata; Lepidosauria; Squamata; Elapidae. The record is from RefSeq and is a predicted model, not a curated record.